UUCAACGGAGAGUUUGAUCCUGGCUCAGGAUGAACGCUGGCGGCGUGCUUAACACAUGCAAGUCGAACGAUGAUGCCCACUUGUGGGUGGAUUAGUGGCGAACGGGU
This 107-nucleotide ribosomal RNA is filed under the name Arthrobacter sp. S39. Its description in RNAcentral is "partial 16S ribosomal RNA". It matches the Rfam family "Bacterial small subunit ribosomal RNA", at positions 1 to 107 of the family's 1533-position model. The record is from RNAcentral. Lineage: Bacteria; Bacillati; Actinomycetota; Actinomycetes; Micrococcales; Micrococcaceae.